CGUCAUAUCAGAUCACUCCAGGUCGAGUUUUGCUGUCCGCCAUUACUUCGUUCAGAAAGUGCAGCUUUUCUGUUGUAGACGGCGACUCUUCAAGGCUCACGCUUCUUUGCUGAAAAUGUCACAAUUGUAGCCGUAUUGCUGAAUUUGGUUUCUCAGAAGAAUGAAGCUGAAACAGAGCUUGAGAGGUGUACAAUGGCAGUGUUUGUCAUCAGGGAGGAUGAGAAUCCUCUCCAACCACCACAUGAAAUUGGGAUUGUAAUUGAAGGUGUGGAAGUCCUUAAUGAGUUGCCGUCAGUCGCACAUGCAUGUGCCAUGUUGUUUGGCCUCAUCUAUGCUGUAAACGUGACCUAUCCAGGUGAGCUCAAAUUAGAGCUGGGCGAAAUGGCCAAAAACGUUAUCACGAUAAACAAAACUCAUAUCGUUCGAUAUCGAUACAUAUCGCGAUAAAUGUCAUCAUUAUUUCUUUCACGUUUGAAGGCUGAUUUUGCUCCUGGGUGGUUAAUUGCGGUUUUAAACUAUCACUUAUGGUCGGAUCAUGACAAACACUCGGCAAACAGUGGAACAUUUCACAAAUUUGUCUUGGGACAGUGGGAGAAAGUUUCUGAGCUCUUUUUAUCAGCUGGAAAAGCACAGCUGCAAUUUUUGUAAUAGUCAUUAUUUAAGAAAGAAAACAGAUUAUUUUUACCUGUGUGGUGACGAGCGCUCGGCUAUCCAGUUACAAAUACUAAACAAUUGGCCAACAACAGUGCUAAACUCUUUAGUUUCUCAACAACCUCAACUUGGUUCGGUAGGUCACUGCUGUCACUCCUGCCACUCCUGCCACAUCCAUGUCAGAGCAUAUCACAGUAUUCAGACACCAGCUAGCGACGACUGGAUUUCUCUAUGCUAUCGCAGUAGUUAAAGGGGUGAAUCACAAAAUAUCUGAUGUUCGCUGUGUAAAAGCGUUAUCUGCAGUGUGAAUCUCUCGCACCAGUCAAACAGAGUCCUCCUUUUAGGUAUGUUUAAACUGAAAGCGGUGAUUUUGUGUCUUGUUUGAUCUACCGUAUCAUCAAUUCUCCGUGUUGUGCCGGAGCGCUGCUUCAAUUAGCCAGCAGCUAAAAAACAGUUAGCUUGGACAGAUAGCGCUCUCCUGCUCUCCAAUGCCUCACAGCUUCCUCAGUUUACUUUCAUUUAAAUCAGGGCUGUAACUAACAUUAACCCACUUCUUUCUUUCACUCUCGUUGUUCGAGAAU
Molecule: long non-coding RNA, 1232 nt
Organism: Colossoma macropomum (tambaqui)
Lineage: Eukaryota; Metazoa; Chordata; Actinopteri; Characiformes; Serrasalmidae
Exons: 3
Source: RefSeq, a predicted model, not a curated record